Molecule: small nucleolar RNA, 133 nt
Organism: Apodemus sylvaticus (European woodmouse)
Lineage: Eukaryota; Metazoa; Chordata; Mammalia; Rodentia; Muridae
Product: small nucleolar RNA SNORA70
Exons: 1
Source: RefSeq, a predicted model, not a curated record
UUGAAACUAAUUAAGGUAACAGAGUUUCUUGCAUAUAAGGACCUGGUUAGCAAUAGUGGCAAACAGCAGACUCCUAGGUAAUGUAUGAAGCCUGUUGCUAUACCAGUUGCCCUAUGGGACCUUACAGAGAAUU